UACGUAGGGUCCGAGCGUUGUCCGGAUUUAUUGGGCGUAAAGAGCGUGUAGGCGGUUCGGUAAGUCUGUCGUGAAAUCCUGAGGCUCAACCUCGGACGUGCGAUGGAUACUGCCGGGCUAGAGGAUGGUAGAGGCGAGUGGAAUUCCCGGUGUAGCGGUGAAAUGCGCAGAUAUCGGGAGGAACACCAGUAGCGAAGGCGGCUCGCUGGGCCAUUCCUGACGCUGAGACGCGAAAGCUAGGGGAGCGAACAGG
Molecule: ribosomal RNA, 253 nt
Filed under: uncultured bacterium
Lineage: Bacteria
Description: partial 16S ribosomal RNA
Rfam family: Bacterial small subunit ribosomal RNA
Source: RNAcentral